RNAcentral lists this ribosomal RNA (498 nucleotides) under uncultured bacterium. Its description in RNAcentral is "bacterial SSU rRNA". It matches the Rfam family "Bacterial small subunit ribosomal RNA", at positions 355 to 840 of the family's 1533-position model. The record is from RNAcentral.
UAGGGAAUCUUCCGCAAUGGACGCAAGUCUGACGGAGCAACGCCGCGUGAGUGAUGAAGGUUUUCGGAUCGUAAAGCUCUGUUGCCCUAGACGAACGCUUGCGAGAGUAACUGCUCGCAAGGUGACGGUAUAGGAGAAGAAAGCCCCGGCUAACUACGUGCCAGCAGCCGCGGUAAUACGUAGGGGGCAAGCGUUGUCCGGAAUUAUUGGGCGUAAAGGGCGCGUAGGCAGCCUGCUAAGUCGAACGUGAAAUCCCCGGGCUCAACCCGGGAACUGCGUCCGAUACUGGCAGGCUUGAAUUCGGGAGAGGGAUGCGGAAUUCCAGGUGUAGCGGUGAAAUGCGUAGAUAUCUGGAGGAACACCGGUGGCGAAGGCGGCAUCCUGGACCGAGAUUGACGCUGAUGCGCGAAAGCCAGGGGGAGCAAAACGGGGAUUAGGAUACCCCGGUAGUCCUGGCCCUAAACGAUGAAUGCUUGGUGUGGCGGGUAUCGAUCCCUG